Molecule: ribosomal RNA, 497 nt
Filed under: uncultured bacterium
Lineage: Bacteria
Description: partial 16S ribosomal RNA
Rfam family: Bacterial small subunit ribosomal RNA
Source: RNAcentral
GAUGAACGCUGGCGGCGUGCCUAAUACAUGCAAGUCGAGCGAACGGACGAGAAGCUUGCUUCUCUGAUGUUAGCGGCGGACGGGAGAGUAACACGUGGAUAACAUACCUAUAAGACUGGGAUAACUUCGGGAAACCGGAGCUAAUACCGGAUAAUAUUUUGCACCGAAUGGUUCAAAAGUGAAAGACGGUCUUGCUGUCACUUAUAGAUGGCUCCGCGCUGCAUUAGCUAGUUGGUAAGGUAACGGCUUACCAAGGCAACGAUGCAUAGCCGACCUGAGCGGGUGAUUGAGUAGAUUGGCAGUGAGAAUCGUCAGAGACACCGAGGGGGGGCCGCAGUAGGGAAUCCUACGCGAGGGAGGAGUGCCUGACGGAGCAACGUCGCGUGAGUGAUGAAGGUCUUAUGAUCGUAAAAUGAUGUUAUUAGUGAAGAAGAUAUGUUUUAGUAACUGUGCACAUCUUGACGGUACCUAAUCAGAAAGCCCCGGCUAACUACGUG